GCAGAACGCGAAGAACCUUACCAGGGCUUGAAUGCAUUAUGACAGGGGUGGAGACACCUUUUCCUUCGGGCAUUUUGCAAGGUGCUGCAUGGUUGUCGUCAGCUCGUGCCGUGAGGUGUCAGGUUAAGUCCUAUAACGAGCGCAACCCCUACCGUUAGUUGCCAGCGGGUCAUGCCGGGGGACUCUAGCGGGACUGCCGGUGCAAACCGUGAGGAAGGUGGGGAUGACGUCAAAUCAUCACGGCCCUUACGUCCUGGGCCACACACGUGCUACAAUGGCCGGUACAGAGAGCGGCCACGCCGCAAGGCGGAGCGAAUCUACAAAACCGGUCACAGUUCGGAUCGGGGUCUGCAACCCGACCCCGUGAAGCUGGAAUCGCUAGUAAUCGGAUAUCAGCCAUGAUCCGGUGAAUACGUUCCCGGGUCUUGUACACACCG
This 437-nucleotide ribosomal RNA is filed under the name uncultured bacterium. Its description in RNAcentral is "bacterial SSU rRNA". It matches the Rfam family "Bacterial small subunit ribosomal RNA", at positions 954 to 1392 of the family's 1533-position model. The record is from RNAcentral.